GACGAACGCUGGCGGCGUGCUUAACACAUGCAAGUCGAACGGAAAGGCCCUGCUUUUGUGGGGUGCUCGAGUGGCGAACGGGUGAGUAACACGUGAGUAACCUGCCCUUGACUUUGGGAUAACUUCAGGAAACUGGGGCUAAUACCGGAUAGGAGCUCCUGCUGCAUGGUGGGGGUUGGAAAGUUUCGGCGGUUGGGGAUGGACUCGCGGCUUAUCAGCUUGUUGGUGGGGUAGUGGCUUACCAAGGCUUUGACGGGUAGCCGGCCUGAGAGGGUGACCGGCCACAUUGGGACUGAGAUACGGCCCAGACUCCUACGGGAGGCAGCAGUGGGGAAUAUUGCACAAUGGGCGGAAGCCUGAUGCAGCAACGCCGCGUGCGGGAUGACGGCCUUCGGGUUGUAAACCGCUUUCGCCUGUGACGAAGCGUGAGUGACGGUAAUGGGUAAAGAAGCACCCGCUAACUACGUGCCAGCAGCCGCGGUGAUACGUAAGGUGCGAGCGUUGUCCGGAUUUAUUGGGCGUAAAGGGCUCGUAGGUGGUUGAUCGCGUCGGAAGUGUAAUCUUGGGGCUUAAACCCUGAGCGUGCUUUCGAUACGGGUUGACUUGAGGAAGGUAGGGGAGAAUGGAAUUCCUGGUGGAGCGGUGGAAUGCGCAGAUAUCAGGAGGAACACCAGUGGCGAAGGCGGUUCUCUGGGCCUUUCCUGACGCUGAGGAGCGAAAGCGUGGGGAGCGAACAGGCUUAGAUACCCUGGUAGUCCACGCUGUAAACGGUGGGUACUAGGUGUGGGGUCCAUUCCACGGGUUCCGUGCCGUAGCUAACGCUUUAAGUACCCCGCCUGGGGAGUACGGCCGCAAGGCUAAAACUCAAAGGAAUUGACGGGGCCCCGCACAAGCGGCGGAGCAUGCGGAUUAAUUCGAUGCAACGCGUAGAACCUUACCUGGGUUUGACAUGGAUCGGGAGUGCUCAGAGAUGGGUGUGCCUCUUUUGGGGUCGGUUCACAGGUGGUGCAUGGCUGUCGUCAGCUCGUGUCGUGAGAUGUUGGGUUAAGUCCCGCAACGAGCGCAACCCUUGUUCACUGUUGCCAGCACGUUAUGGUGGGGACUCAGUGGAGACCGCCGGGGUCAACUCGGAGGAAGGUGGGGAUGACGUCAAGUCAUCAUGCCCCUUAUGUCCAGGGCUUCACGCAUGCUACAAUGGCUGGUACAGAGAGUGGCGAGCCUGUGAGGGUGAGCGAAUCUCGGAAAGCCGGUCUCAGUUCGGAUUGGGGUCUGCAACUCGACCUCAUGAAGUCGGAGUCGCUAGUAAUCGCAGAUCAGCAACGCUGCGGUGAAUACGUUCCCGGG
This 1344-nucleotide ribosomal RNA is filed under the name uncultured bacterium. RNAcentral describes it as "16S ribosomal RNA". It matches the Rfam family "Bacterial small subunit ribosomal RNA", at positions 28 to 1378 of the family's 1533-position model. The record is from RNAcentral.